This 152-nucleotide small nuclear RNA is filed under the name Mesocricetus auratus (golden hamster). Its description in RNAcentral is "U1 spliceosomal RNA (ENSMAUG00000004407.1)". It matches the Rfam family "U1 spliceosomal RNA". From Rfam's summary of the family: U1 is a small nuclear RNA (snRNA) component of the spliceosome (involved in pre-mRNA splicing). Its 5' end forms complementary base pairs with the 5' splice junction, thus defining the 5' donor site of an intron. Lineage: Eukaryota; Metazoa; Chordata; Mammalia; Rodentia; Cricetidae. The record is from RNAcentral.
AUACUUACCUGGCAGGGGAGAUAAUAUGACAAAAGCGGUUUUCCCAGGGUGAGGCAUAGUCAUUGGAUUAUGAAUUCUGACAAUUUUCCCAAAAUGGAGGAAACUCACCUGUAUAAUUUGUGGUAUGAGGGACCAGUUACAUUCUUUCCCUU